UGUUUGCAGUGGUGUCGGUCUGUUGCAGGCACUGGAGGCGAAUGCACGGUGAUGGUGGUGAUGGUGAUGAGAUUUCAGGUGUGGUGCUGAGACGUCGGUGAAGAACUAGCGCCGUAUCCCAUUGCAAGCUGGACAAAUAUUCGACUCCACUUGCAGAGGUGAGCCACCAUUCCAUGAUUUAUCUCUGCACAGGAACGAUAAGGAAGAAGCUACGCAACGUAGCACCGGUUUUCAGCAUCCAACGAAGACGAGGCGAAGCUUGAGAGGUUGCUGUAGACCAACUAGAAAUUCUUAACAGGCAAGCUGCCGAUGCACAUGGACUGCGAAGCCGUUGAAGCUGUUUUCGUACCAAACCCAUCCCGAGUAUAACUGUUUCGUGUGCCCCAGGUCGUCCAUGCACGGAGAAUAUUGUUUUCAGGGCGGUCAAAGAGGGGAGAAGAAGCAGUAAGCUUCCUUACAGACCUGGACACACGAAUCCUUCCAGUGCACCGUUUCUUCAUAGCAUGGGGAGCGGCCCCCGUGUCACUCCUAUUUUAAUCUGCUUAAAAUGAACCCUACUGACACUGUAUUAGCUCAUCCUGGGGCUGAAGCGAAAGUCGGUCACUGCCGAUUCCUUUGCAGUAAAGUCGGUCCACGUUCCACCGCCGUUUCGUGAAGUCUCUGUGAUGAGCUCAUGACUUCUGUGCUCGAUGCCGACAAUAGAUGUGCUACUCAAGGGGAAUCGAAUCCGAUCAGAAUUGUACAAUUUUUGGCAUUCUUGCAGGAUUACUACAAUCCGUGAUCUUUUGUUGCAGUCUCGGGGGGUCUGGAUCAGGAGCAUCUUCAAGCUUUAAAGUCUCCGAGACCUGCACCCACACUGGUAAGCUUACCAAUUUGGAGCUCUGGUUUGUUCUGCUUCAUGAAUGACUGUCAUACUGUGAGAGCUACAAACAGAAAAUAAACUAAAAUGGUAACAUGUUCAUAUUCUUCAGAGUUGCCAAUGGUAACAUAUGCAUAUUCUAAAAACGUGAUUGUUGAGAGCUUUACAUAAGACUUAAGCAUUGUAACUUGGCAGAUAAUUUUGUAGUUUCAAAAACAGUUUCCAGUGGAUUUAAUGGAUCUCAACUCGUUCCCCUUCAAGGAUAUAUGUAUAAUUGAAAUGAAAAUAUGUUUCAAACUGUUUCUUCAGUUUUUUUGGUUGAUGCUUUAGGUUAGAUUAUUGCUAACAUCAUGCACAAACAUCUUAAAGUGUUGAUUUAAUUCAACUUUUUAAAAUAGUGUUUUAUUGAUUUUAUUUAUUUAUCUUAUGGUUUAAGUUUUUUGAGAAAAUUCAUCUACUAGUUCUUUUCGAUAACUGCAUUUGAAAAAUAACUAUCAUGUUAUAUGCAAAAAAUAUUUUAUCAGUAAAAAAAAAAUUGAAUAUAACAUGAUAGUUAUUUUUUACAAUUUAUCUAUUUAUAAAGAAUUUUUUAUAUCCACUCAUUUAAAUAUUACAUUAAAAAACUGUACUUUUUUUUAGACAUGUGAUGAAUAUUAUAUGUUUUAUUUCUUAUUUUUUGUACAUAAUUUAUUAUUUUGCAAAAAUAAAUAUCUCACUUACUACAUUAAUUUUACAACUGAAGAUGUAAGUUUAUACUUCUGAUUUAGUUCCAAUGAUAAUUUUAAAAUUAUAAUACAUUCUGUAAAUAUCUUAAACUAAAAGAGCAGAUGUUAAGAAAUAUAUAUAUAUAUAUAUAUAUAUAUAUAUUUUAAGUGUACCAAACUGAAAUACCAUACUUUUGAUUGAAUACAAUUUUCAAAUAUAUUAUUAAAUUUGCUGUAAAAGAUGAAGAUUACAUAGAUUCGCUUUAAUUGUUGAAAGUAAAAUUAAAUGGAAGGCGCAUGCAACAUCUCCAGUACUUUUUAGAUGCUCUAUAAUUCUUCAACUAUUGCUCAUCAUUAAAAAAAUGUACAAACUAAAAAAAUGUAAAUAAAAAUUAACCCAUAAGUUUUUCAAAAAUAAAUACACAAAUGUACUGCAAAAUUAUAAUUAGAAUUCUUGAUUCUUGAUCAAUAAUUACCAUUUUUUUAGAUAUAAAAGAUCAUGAUUUAACAAAAGAUUGACUUCUUAAUUAAUUCCCAUCUACAAUAUUAAUGUCAAAACAAAAGCUGCUUUUAGAAAAAUAUUUUAGAGUAUUAUGUGAGUUCCAACUAUGUAAACUAUACCAGUUUAUUUCCAAAUGUAUUGCCUUGGCAAACAAUUGAAAACGUAUUAAGCUAAACUUACAAUCAUUUUGUCACAAAUUUUCAAAUUUUUUGCUUAUAUAAUUUUGUAUCUAAUUUCUCAAAAACAAUUAUUAAAGUGUGGUUGAAGUGACAUAAUAGUGGCUAAAUUUCAAAGACAAAAUUUAAAGUUAAAAAAUUUAAUAAGAAGAAAGUUUUAGGGUUGUAGAAGUUGGAGGUAAAUACUGGCUUGUACAAAAAAGAUUCCACAAGCAAUAAAAAUAAAAGUCUGUUAACAAGAAUAAUGUAGAGUUGGAAGAAAUUAACUUAAGAGUAGGAAUUGCAAUUUUUUUGAGUCUUGGAUAUGAAAUUUUCCAUAAUGUUAUAAACAAGAAUUUAACUUAUAAGGUAUAGUCAAAAUUAAAGAGCUUAUAUAUUACAAAUUUAUUGAAAAUUUGAGUAGAUUUGAAACAUCAAUUUUAUACUUUGUGCAUAAAAAAAAUCAAAGUUUCUUAGAUUAUUUAAAUACCUUUAGAACGAUGGUCUGUGAUUUAACAAGUAUAGAAUUUUAUUAAUUAAAAAUGACAUGCCAUGCAAGACUCUAAAAAUACACAUUAUUUGUAUCAAAAUAUGUUCAAAAAUGUUGAAAAAUAAACUUCAAAAAUCUGUAUUAAAAGAAUAUUGAAAAAUAAACUUCAAUAUUGAAAAAUAAACUUCAAUAUUUUUGUUCAUCAUACCAAAUGUGAGCUAAAGUAUAUACUAAUUUUUUUUCUAUUGUCACAAUAAUUCUUCAACAAAAUAGAAAAACAAUAAGCCUAAAUUGUAUGGUUUUUGAGAAAACUUUAAGCAUAUUGAAUAAAGUUAAAUAAGAGUAGUACUUCCAAGCUAAAGCUAUGAACACUACUAUUGUAUUGGUAAAUCUUUCUUUCUCUAUUUUUAUUAAAUUUAAGAUACUUCAUAAGAAAUAACAUAGUAGACAUGCAUAUUACUCUAAUUCUUUUAAAUGGCAAGCAUAUGUUCAUGUCUAAUACAAAAAAAAAAAAAUCAAAUUUGGAUAUUAUGUCAAAAACAUUUAUGAAAGAAAUAUAGCAUUUGGGAUCUAAAUACAAGUAAGAUCAUUGCAAAUAUGAAAAUAGAAUUUUGUGAAGUUCUAUAUUUAAAGAAAGUGAUUUACAUAAAGGAAAGAAGUUUUAGAUUAUAAUUGAUAUUCUUAAGAUAAAG
Molecule: long non-coding RNA, 3402 nt
Filed under: Physcomitrium patens
Lineage: Eukaryota; Viridiplantae; Streptophyta; Bryopsida; Funariales; Funariaceae
Description: long non-coding RNA (PPAT_LNC006936)
Source: RNAcentral